This 74-nucleotide transfer RNA is filed under the name Stylophora pistillata. RNAcentral describes it as "tRNA-Asn". It matches the Rfam family "tRNA". From Rfam's summary of the family: Transfer RNA (tRNA) molecules are approximately 80 nucleotides in length. Their secondary structure includes four short double-helical elements and three loops (D, anti-codon, and T loops). The record is from Rfam by way of RNAcentral. Lineage: Eukaryota; Metazoa; Cnidaria; Anthozoa; Scleractinia; Pocilloporidae.
GUCUUCGUGGCGCAAUCGGUCAGCGCGUUCAGCUGUUAACCGAAAGGUUGGUGGUUCAAGCGCACCCGGGGACG